Molecule: RNA transcript, 1306 nt
Organism: Juglans microcarpa x Juglans regia
Lineage: Eukaryota; Viridiplantae; Streptophyta; Magnoliopsida; Fagales; Juglandaceae
Gene name: nudix hydrolase 1
Exons: 3
Source: RefSeq, a predicted model, not a curated record
CUUCGGCUACUCGACAUUGAAGAGCCGAUCACUGCUAUUUACGUGAAAGGCACGCACAUCAGGCAUUUGAAGUAACCCUGCUUAAAGAGACGGGUGAGAGACCAAACUCUGAGAGGGUGAGGCAACAGCAAAUAGUGAGGAAGGAAUGGAGAAGGGAGUACCCAGAGUGGGGGUGGCGGUUUUCUUGUUGAGUGGGAAAGCUGUUCUCUUGGGUCGGCGCCGCUCAUCCAUCGGCGACUCCACUUUUGCUCUCCCUGGUGGCCACCUCGAGUUUGGAGAGAGCUUUGAAGAAUGCGCAGCCAGAGAGUUGAAAGAGGAAACUGGAUUGGACAUUGAUAAAGUAGAGUACUUAACUGUCACAAACACCCUGUUUCUUGAGGAACCAAAACCAUCCCAUUAUGUUACUAUCUUCAUGCGUGCAUUCUUAACAGAUCCUAACCAAGCGCCCCAAAAUCUUGAGCCACAAAAGUGUGAUGGUUGGGAUUGGUAUGACUGGGAUAAUCUCCCUAAACCACUGUUUUGGCCUCUAGAGAAGAUGGUGCAAGAGGGCUAUAAUCCUUUUCCAAUUGGCUAGAACUAAUUCAUAGGGAUCCUUCUAUGUUCUACUUGCUGUUUGUCCAGUAUGCGAAGAUUAUGUAUGCAUGUGAAACGUCUAGGCAGUGAAAACAUAAGUCGGGGCCUUCAGUCUUAUUAUCAAUUUGGUUAAUGUCGAUAGAACAAGAAUGAAGGCUAGCGAGGGAGCAUCUAGUUCAUGUCAUCAUUCUGCCCAUCUACUCAUACAUUCAUCUAACGAGAUCCAUUGGACGUCCAUCAAUGCCUUUUCCAUGAUUAUUUUGCUUAAAUACCAAUAUAUCCUCCCAAUAUUUUUAUGAAGAGGUUUCGAAUUGAUCAUGAUCUAUUUUAACGCAUCCAUUAUGCAGAGAAGCAUAUGAUUAUUUUGUCCAAAAAAUAUAUUCAAGUGGAAGGCUCAAAUUGUCUUCCUUUCAGAACAUGACUAUAGCAAUUAGGAUGGUCACAUAUGGAGUAAUGACAGAUCUUAAUGAAGAAUAUUUGAGAAUUGGAGAAAGCAUUGCACAGUUGAGUAUGAAAAAAAUUAGACGAUCGUGACAAUUUUUUUUUUUUUUAUGAGUACUUGAGGUCUCUAAACAGUAGCAAUAUAGCACGAUUACUAGAUGUUGGACAACGAUGUGGAUUUAUAGAAGUAUUGGGAAUCAUUGAUUACAUGCAUUGGAAAUGUAAGAACUAUCCUAAUGCUUGGAAAUAUACAUACUCUGGUCAUAUAAAUCAACCAACUAUUAUUUUUGUA